This 364-nucleotide transfer-messenger RNA is filed under the name Deltaproteobacteria bacterium. It matches the Rfam family "transfer-messenger RNA". Rfam says of the family: Bacterial tmRNA, also known as 10Sa RNA or SsrA, is named for its dual tRNA and mRNA-like properties. Lineage: Bacteria; Pseudomonadati; Myxococcota; Myxococcia. The record is from RNAcentral.
GGGGGCGCACUGGUUUCGACGGGGACGUAUGAAGCCGUAGCUGCGGGCCGAGGCGCCGCUGGCCUCGUAAAAAGCGGCAACCAAGUAAUUGGCAACGAUUACGAAUACGCUUACGCGGCUUAGUUAAAGCCACGCCAAAACCUGGGCUGACGCCUGAUACGCCUUUGUUUUGGUCAAAAAAAUCAUCAGGCUGGCGCUGAAAUGAUGUCUUCCGCUGACGGCGCGAGAACUUUAGGAGGGCUGGCAGCAGACUGCCCUGAUCAGGGGCGACCCCUGCUGUAAGAACAUUAUACCUGAUCUACGCCCGUAGACGUUGCGAGUGGAGUGUUUUCGGACGCGGGUUCGAUUCCCGCCGCCUCCACCA